This 445-nucleotide ribosomal RNA is filed under the name uncultured bacterium. RNAcentral's name for it is "partial 16S ribosomal RNA". It matches the Rfam family "Bacterial small subunit ribosomal RNA", at positions 354 to 796 of the family's 1533-position model. The record is from RNAcentral.
GUGAGGAAUAUUGGUCAAUGGACGAGAGUCUGAACCAGCCAAGUCGCGUGAAGGAAGACGGUUCUAUGAAUUGUAAACUUCUUUUGUGCAGGAAUAAAGUGGGUUACGUGUAACCUUUUGUAUGUACUGUGCGAAUAAGGAUCGGCUAACUCCGUGCCAGCAGCCGCGGUAAUACGGAGGAUCCGAGCGUUAUCCGGAUUUAUUGGGUUUAAAGGGUGCGUAGGUGGAUUGAUAAGUCAGCGGUGAAAGUUUGCAGCUUAACUGUAAAAUUGCCGUUGAAACUGUCGGUCUUGAGUGCAAAUGAGGUAGGCGGAAUGUGUUGUGUAGCGGUGAAAUGCUUAGAUAUAACACAGAACUCCGAUUGCGAAGGCAGCUUACUGGGAUGCAACUGACACUGAUGCACGAAAGCGUGGGUAUCAAACAGGAUUAGAAACCCUGGUAGUCC